RNAcentral lists this transfer RNA (74 nucleotides) under Candidatus Atribacteria bacterium. Its description in RNAcentral is "tRNA-Gln". It matches the Rfam family "tRNA". From Rfam's summary of the family: Transfer RNA (tRNA) molecules are approximately 80 nucleotides in length. Their secondary structure includes four short double-helical elements and three loops (D, anti-codon, and T loops). The record is from RNAcentral. Lineage: Bacteria; Pseudomonadati; Atribacterota; Atribacteria.
UGGGGUGUAGCCAAGCGGCAAGGCAAGGGACUUUGGCUCCCUCAUCGGAGGUUCGAAUCCUUCCACCCCAGCCA